This 697-nucleotide ribosomal RNA is filed under the name uncultured Staphylococcus sp. RNAcentral describes it as "bacterial SSU rRNA". It matches the Rfam family "Bacterial small subunit ribosomal RNA", at positions 63 to 742 of the family's 1533-position model. Lineage: Bacteria; Bacillati; Bacillota; Bacilli; Caryophanales; Staphylococcaceae. The record is from RNAcentral.
CGAGCGAACAGACGAGGAGCUUGCUCCUCUGACGUUAGCGGCGGACGGGUGAGUAACACGUGGAUAAUCUACCUAUAAGACUGGGAUAACUUCGGGAAACCGGAGCUAAUACCGGAUAAUAUAUUGAACCGCAUGGUUCAAUAGUGAAAGACGGUUUUGCUGUCACUUAUAGAUGGAUCCGCGCCGCAUUAGCUAGUUGGUAAGGUAACGGCUUACCAAGGCAACGAUGCGUAGCCGACCUGAGAGGGUGAUCGGCCACACUGGAACUGAGACACGGUCCAGACUCCUACGGGAGGCAGCAGUAGGGAAUCUUCCGCAAUGGGCGAAAGCCUGACGGAGCAACGCCGCGUGAGUGAUGAAGGUCUUCGGAUCGUAAAACUCUGUUAUUAGGGAAGAACAAAUGUGUAAGUAACUAUGCACGUCUUGACGGUACCUAAUCAGAAAGCCACGGCUAACUACGUGCCAGCAGCCGCGGUAAUACGUAGGUGGCAAGCGUUAUCCGGAAUUAUUGGGCGUAAAGCGCGCGUAGGCGGUUUUUUAAGUCUGAUGUGAAAGCCCACGGCUCAACCGUGGAGGGUCAUUGGAAACUGGAAAACUUGAGUGCAGAAGAGGAAAGUGGAAUUCCAUGUGUAGCGGUGAAAUGCGCAGAGAUAUGGAGGAACACCAGUGGCGAAGGCGACUUUCUGGUCUGUAACUG